CGGAGGGUGAGGAGGAUGGCGGAGGGAGAGGAGGAUGGCGGAGGGAGAGGAGGAUGGCAGAGGGAGAGGAAGAUGGCAGAGGGAGAGGGGGAUGGCGGAGGGAGAGGAGGAUGGCAGAGGGAGAGGAGGAUGGCAGAGGGAGAGGAGGAUGGCGGAGGGAGAGGAGGAUGGCGGAGGGAGAGGAGGAUGGCAGAUGGAGAGGAGGAUGGCAGAGAGGGGAGGAGGAUGGCGGAGGGAGAUGAGGAUGGCGGAGGGAGAGGAGGAUGGCGGAGGGAGGGGAGGAUGGCGGAGGGAGAGGAGUGAACAUUAAUGGUGGCUAAAAGCAGACCGCUUGACAGUGGCUCUUCACUCUCUCUCUCU
Oncorhynchus tshawytscha (Chinook salmon) is the source of this 360-nucleotide long non-coding RNA. The record is from Ensembl. NCBI's taxonomy places the organism in Eukaryota, Metazoa, Chordata, Actinopteri, Salmoniformes, Salmonidae.